AUCACUUCUCAGCCUUUUGGCUAAGAUCAAGUGUAGAAUCACCAGAAUAAAGUUUAACCAAAUAUCUGGGCACCCUGU
Callithrix jacchus (white-tufted-ear marmoset) is the source of this 78-nucleotide small nuclear RNA. Its record names the gene U2. It matches the Rfam family "U2 spliceosomal RNA". From Rfam's summary of the family: U2 is a small nuclear RNA (snRNA) component of the spliceosome (involved in pre-mRNA splicing). The record is from Ensembl. Lineage: Eukaryota; Metazoa; Chordata; Mammalia; Primates; Cebidae.